ACAGCAGCCGCCGCGGUAAUACGGAGGGUGCAAGCGUUAAUCGGAAUUACUGGGCGUAAAGCGCACGCAGGCGGUCUGACAAGUCAGAUGUGAAAUCCCCGGGCUUAACCUGGGAACUGCAUUUGAAACUGUCAGGCUGGAGUCUUGUAGAGGGGGGUGGAAUUCCAGGUGUAGCGGUGAAAUGCGUAGAGAUCUGGAGGAAUACCGGUGGCGAAGGCGGCCCCCUGGACAAAGACUGACGCUCAGGUGCGAAAGCGUGGGGAGCAAACAGGAUUAGAUACCCGAGUAGUCCCUGUCUCUUAUAC
This 305-nucleotide ribosomal RNA is filed under the name uncultured bacterium. RNAcentral's name for it is "partial 16S ribosomal RNA". It matches the Rfam family "Bacterial small subunit ribosomal RNA", at positions 508 to 807 of the family's 1533-position model. The record is from RNAcentral.